GGGUCAAUGAUGAAAUAUUUGCCUUGUAUCUAGAGAGGAGUUGUCUUAAAACUCAUGCUCAGUAGAGUUACACUGAGAUCC
This 81-nucleotide small nucleolar RNA is filed under the name Carlito syrichta (Philippine tarsier). Its description in RNAcentral is "Small nucleolar RNA SNORD115 (ENSTSYG00000034047.1)". It matches the Rfam family "Small nucleolar RNA SNORD115". Rfam says of the family: HBII-52 is a member of the C/D class of snoRNAs, which contain the C (UGAUGA) and D (CUGA) box motifs. HBII-52 is encoded in a tandemly repeated array with another C/D snoRNA, HBII-85, in the Prader-Willi syndrome (PWS) region of chromosome 15. HBII-52 is exclusively expressed in the brain but is absent in PWS patients. The record is from Rfam by way of RNAcentral. Lineage: Eukaryota; Metazoa; Chordata; Mammalia; Primates; Tarsiidae.